Molecule: long non-coding RNA, 8965 nt
Organism: Betta splendens (Siamese fighting fish)
Lineage: Eukaryota; Metazoa; Chordata; Actinopteri; Anabantiformes; Osphronemidae
Exons: 2
Source: RefSeq, a predicted model, not a curated record
AAUAGCACUAUGCCUUCUUGUGACUGGUUAAUUAUGACUAAUUAAUUAUACUAUUUUACUGUUUAUCAAUUUCCUGCACACGUUUCCUCCAAAGCACCAACUUUUCACAGUUUAAAAUUACUACUUCCUCUGCGGUUAAUUUCAGCUAUAUUGAAUAUUUUCACAACUUUGAGCUAUUCUUUCAGCUGUUGAACUCAGAACUAUUUAAUUAUAAUAUUGUUUUGAUAUAUAGAAAUAUAAACUAAACAACACAUAUAUAAACUAAGCAAACCUUUUCACAUUUCCUUCAUUUUCAGCAGUUCUUUAAUUUCAGCAAAUCUCAAGUAAUUUCAAGUUUCCCCCAUUUGAAAUUUAACUACUUCAGCUUCCUCUGCAAAUAUUCAGCUCUGUUUAAACAACUCCUAAUUAUCUUCAGAUACAUUCAUCUAUGCUUUACAUGCUUCAGCUAUUUUAAAUGUUUCAGCUACGUUCAGCAAUUCUUCAGGAAUACAUUCAGCAUGGAAGCAUCCACUGUGCGUUUUCUUAUGGAAAUACUUUAUCUAGUUUGUCUGAGAGUGAAAAUCUAAAUUUGUCAAAUAGAUACUCCCCUCCCCAUAAGACUGACAAUUAGCUUGUGGUUUCCAAUUCUGAUGAUACAUUUGGAAGACACCACAAAUACGCAUGCACACACACACAUCCAUGUACUUACAUCAAAACUAAUUUCUAACCUCAGCCUUAAAAUCACACCUUAACCCUCAAACAGGCCUUCAAAGAAGUGAGGACUGGCCAAAAUGUCCUCACUUUGUCAAAAUUUCCUCACUUUGGUAGGAUGUUUAUAGCACUGUGUUGUUAUUAUGAACUUGAUUUUCAAAUGAAAAAGCUUGGCUGCCCUGAGGCAGUUGUCUUGAAUGAUGCCUCUUUCCUCAAUUUUGUCCAGACUGACAGUGUGUCCUCCAGCCACGGCGUCUUCUGCCCAACCAGCCGAAACCUGGGGGUUUUAAACACAUUUUGUGUCUAUGUCAUGCUUACUUUAUUAGACUCAUUGGUUACUUUACAGCAUAAUCAACAUCUUUAAACCAAUGACAACACAUCAUGUACACAUCAACAGUCAGGGUCUAAGCCUUUUCUCAUUUCGAUUACAAGUGCAGCUCAUCAACACCGUUACCUUGCAAACUUCCCCAUUUUCUCUGCCCAUGUCCGCUUUUGCCCGUGCUGGUACUUUCCAGGGACACUUUGGUUGCUUAAAACUUUAGUUUGCACCAAACAUUUCAAAACUGUAGCUUGAGAACACAAGAUUGCAAAACCUACACCUGACUCUUGUUCUCAAACAUUCAACUUUAUUUUACCCUGAUUACAAGCUCACAAAAUGUAUUAGAACAUAUAUCAAAACAACAGAUUUAUCAUUCCAACAUAAUCACACUGCUGUGUUAUUAAAAAUCACCUGAAUCAUCAAACAUCAUAACAUCAUCUGACUGUUAAAUACAAUAGAAUAGAAAACACACUUUUUGGUUCUCACUUCUAUGUAAGUACAAAUACACUCUCGCUCUCUCUAAGAAAUGGGGUACAACGUCAGCAGGAAGCUGGUGCUCACAUGCAUUAUAUAUUAUCAGUCACUAUAUUAUCAUAUAUACGUGUGUGUGUGUGUGUGUGUGUGUGCGUGUGUGUGUGUGUGUGUGCGUGCGUGCGUGUGUGUGUCUUUUACUACACUACUACAUUACAUUUUGUACAUUUUUCGUCUGGAGCUUCACUGACAUGGAUGUCGAGGUUUGUCUGAAAGUGAAAAUCUAAAGUUGUCAAAUAGAUACUGCCCUCCCCAAAAGACAAUUAGUGUGUAGUUUCCAAUUCCAAUGGUACAUUUGGAAGACACCACAAAUACGCACUCACACACACACACACACACACACACACACACACACACACACACACACACACACACACACACACACACACACACACACACACACACACACUCCAGCCUGGACACCUGCAAGCAGCUGUCAGGACCUUUAUAGAUAUUACAAGGAGACAUUUCCAGAGAUAGGACUAGUUGAAUAUCUUCAUAGUUCUUAUGAAAAACCUGCUAAUUUGUUCUUUGUUUUGAUUGAUCCGGUUUAUGCAAUUUGUAAGUUAGUGUUUUAUUAUUACGCAGUACCAUCAUCUGUUUGUCUUUUAAAAUUUGUUUUUUGUAUUCAGAAAACAUAAAAAAGAUGAAUGAUGAGGUCACAGUCGUAGUUUUGCUCAUCUACGUGGAGACAUCUAGUGGCCAAAUGUUGUCUGAGCAGCUUCAUAGUCAACCGUGGCAGUAAUAUUUGUGUGGCCUGACGUUUAACUGGAUCAUACCUAAAUAACAAGCUUUCACAUUCACUCAACAGCAAGAAAACACAGACCCAACUGUUACAGACUGGACAUGUUGGCUUGAGCUUCACAAAUGUCAGCAAAACUCUUAUUUUUAACUGAAACUGACACAUGGUUAUGAAACAAUAUUUGACCUUGGCACCAGAGUUGUGAGCUGGAUGAACUUUAUGACUUUUAUGGGUCAUCCCCCAAUGAGCCACUGGGUGUCAACCUUAAUGUAUUACUCUGUAGAACACAGAAGAACAUUUGUCGCGUCCACAAAGAGUCAGGACUUAUUCAACUCAACAAGCACACGUUCGGACUGUACUUCAUCUAUUGACCCCUGUGGUCUGACCUGGUGACAGUCUAUGUUUCAACCUGCUCUCCCACCUUAACAUCUGUAUCUCCCAGCCUAAUCAGAUGGAUACAGUUGUGCAUAUAUAAACAUGAAUGUAUAGUGUAAUGUGCAGAACUAUGUUUAUGAACAAGAUCUGCCAGUUUUAGAACCGGAGGAGCAGUUAAUGUGUCUGAACACGCCUGUAACACAGUGCCUUGAUGUUUGUGUUGGCUGUCGUGGAGGGUAAAGUAGUCAGGACCACAGCUUCCAGUAAGUCCAGUAUAUUCACAUUAGAACAGGUGACGUUUUAACUGGCUUCACCGGAAGACCAGAGGUUCAUUAAGACUUAACACACAUUUCACCAAUCAUAGUUUUUAGUUGUAUUUUGUAUGAGUGACAGCUAAACUGCAACAUAAACGUCGCAGAGUAGUAACAUAAAAAAAAAAAUGCUCCCCAUUAGUUAUUUUAAAAUAUAGUAAAAUGAAGCUGGUGCUCAUGUAAAUGUGUUAAUAGAUUUAUGUAUUGUGUAUAACAAUAAACAAGCUGAAAUAGUUUUUCAAAACUAGACACAGAGUUGGAUUUUAACACGUUUUCCUGUUUGUUUGUUUGUUUGUUUGUUUUGAUAGCAGAAAGAAAUGUCAAGAAAUUGGUGGGGAAAUCUAAAGUACACGGACCAUGCUUUGAUUAAAUUCCGUUUUCGCUCAUAUUUAAAGAAAACCGGCGUGCUUUAUAUUUUAACGCAGGUUGACAAAUCAACCAGAAGACGGUUUGAUUUCAGUCAAUAUUAAGAAAGAGUGUCGCUUCCUCAGCCCGCGCGUGCGUGCGCGUGUGUCAGUGACGUGCGGUCAGGGGAGGCAGAACCUCUGAAAUAUACGAUUAUGUAAUUAUAAUAACAAGGAAUAAAAAUCCAUAUCAAGUUACUGAUCUGUGUUUCAAAUGUAUUUUCUCUACAAUUUAAAUAUUUGUCGAUUAAUAACAUGCGAGUCUCUGAAGCUCAAACUUUCAGUAAAUGGGUUGUUACGUGCUACGUUCCUCUUUUAUUUUAACAGCUAGUCACCAGGAUAAUGUUUGCAGCCUACAGACCAUAUACAAAUAAUAUGAUUAUUCUACACUUUGUUCAACCCUCUAAAUUUAUUUAUUGGUGUUUUGUGGCAUAAUUACUUCUUUGACCUCCAGCGAUUGGACAGUUCUCUGCUUGUCUAACGUGGGACAAAGCAGAUGAUAAUAAUAUACUGUGUGAAAAACGAUAUUGUGAUGACUCCACUACGAAACAGGGCCAGUAGUCAGUCAGUGUUCUGCCAGUGAAAUAGUGAAAAGAUUAUUUUUUGAGUUCUUUUAAAGUCUGACUGGGAAGUCGUUAUUUCCUCACCAGUCAUGAACCUCACCACAUGUCACUGGUGCGUGUGUCUCCCAUAUGGAGACACUACUGGUCAUAUGGAGGUCAACAGAAGAAGUGUGUUUGUCAGAAUGAAGAAUAAAUUCUGGCUCUUUGCUGUGGAUGAACACAAGUGAGAUUUUCCAAUCUGAAUGGAGGAUGACCCAUUGGCAUGAAAUUAUUGAUGAUGAAAUUUGAUGAUGAUAACAUUAAAUCAGAGCUUGGGCCAAAGGAGACAUCUAGGAACAAAAGGGGCCAAAGCGGGGACAAAUCUGAGGGUGAAUCUAACACUGGGGGGAACCUGAACGGCAGCGGUGGUCCCUCCUUGGAGAGGAUUAGGAAAUAUACCUGCUCUGCUAAACAAGAGAAGAGAGUGGUGCAAGAAGAAUUGAGUCAUCAGCCGCUGGUUGCAGAGUUAGAGGAAGUCAGGAGGAAAGCAGAGCAGCCUGGGAGGCAAGAGGGGGGGGGGUGCUUUUUCUUCUCCUUUUUCUUCUCCAACACAGUCGUCAUGUACUGGUUAGGUGCAACACUAAACAUUCUUACACAAACAACUAAUCUCUUGCGCGCUGUCGUAAAUCAAGCCUAAACAUCUGAUGUUUCAUUUGACUGACUAAUAGUUUAUGAUAUAUGUUUGUCUUUUACACCUGGACUCUGGCUCCAUCCUAUCUGACUCCCCACCAGACCCAAGGCUGGUAAAGCCAAUGCAUCUUGUCUUGGAAGCUCGGUGUUCCUGCCUUUUGAAAACAAGACACGAUGAUGCAGAAGUGAGAAUGUAAACAUUCUUACAGCGAAAUAGGGUGGCACAAACAAUUCUAUUGGUGCAGAGAGACAUUCCAGCAGAGCCAGAGAAAGGGGUUAAAAGGCAGAAGCAACCUGAGGAUCGUGGGCUCUUUGCAUCACACCUUCGUGGUGUGUGCACUGAUCUCCCCAUCUGGUUUUUGGUUUGUUGAUCUGCACCAUCAACAUCCAUGCUUUUGAUUUGCUUUCUCCAUUAUUUUUAUUUUCCUUUAUUUUCAUAAUAAAUCACACAAAAGACAACUCUCUCAUUUGCCUCUUUAUGGAAAAUUUCCACCACAAGAGGAAGUCAGAAAGAGAUGAUCAAAAAGCCCAAAUAAUCUUUUAUUUACUGUUGCAUUGAUUCUUAUAUUCCACUGAUUACAAAUGAUAAGAAAAUAAUCAUUAAUCUACUAUUGUGUUGAUUGUCAUUAUUGGUGACUUCUAAAGAUAAUAAUUUAUUUACUAUUGUAUUGAUUCUCAUUAGCUAAUGAUAUGAAAUGAUCUUAUUCUAACCCUAACCCCCAAACAAUGACUCUCAUGUUUGAAUGAGUGCUAAGGAUGAUGAAUUAGUAACUAAAAUGUAAUGAUUCUUAUGUUUAGCUGAUAUUAAUGAUAAGGUUAAUGAAACCAUCAGUGGUAAAACACCUUAUGAUUUUGUAUGGGGUUAAUGCAUAUGAGGAACUGUCGACCAGGGGAAAAAAAAGUUUCAAGUGUCAAGGCAGAACCAGGUGCAGGUUUGGGAAAUCAAAUGUGCAAGCUGAACUUUUGCAAUCUUUUGUGCUCAAUCUAAGUUUUUGCAGAACCAAAGGGUCAGGUAGAAAGUACAGAGAAGUCAUAACGGGAAGUAUCCAAAUGACAUGUUGUACUGGCGUUAAGGUGAAGCAGAGUUCAGAUAAUGCCUGUUCACAGGUACAUGAUGUAUUGUCAUUGGUUGAAAAAUGUUGAUGGCGCUGUAAAGUGACCAAUGAGAUGAUGGAAUGUGUACAGAGUGGUGUCGAGGGCUGUCAGAAAACGUGUAUAAAACCCUUGGGUUUUGACAAGUUGGACAGAAGACGCAGCGGCUGGAGGACACACUGUCAGUCUGAACAAAAAUCAAGGAACAAGGAAAGAAGAGCUCAGAUCAAGGAGGGAGAGGGAACGCUUGGAGGACGACUGCCUCAGGGCAGCUGGAUGGGAUGAAGCAGCACGGGUUCAAAACCCAAGUGGACGGGACGGAGACGAAGCAUCCACAUCAUCUCCAACUCGACGCCCAGAGUCCCAGCAACCAACGGCUAUGAGUAAAAAAGCACACAAGGAAGGAAGGAAUGGUGAUUGUGACUGCGUUUUGAGUUUGAUUUUUCAUCUUUGAUUUGGACUAUUUUUAUUACCUGCUGUUGGCUUUUGCUGUUUGCUGAAUAAAGUACCAACACUGGAGUUAAAGUAACUGCGUCCUGUCCUUAAUUUUAUUGGGAAAAGGUUUUCUUCAAAUGAAUGUAGCCACUCCUCGUUGAUGUAAAAGUUCCAGAUUGUGUGACUAAGCCGGCUGCAUGAUAAAGGCUCUUGUUUAGUCCAGACUCAUAAAUCAACACAUCCUGUGUGGUAAAAGUAUACUAACCACCAAAACCAGUUCCAGCAACCACAACACCAGUCAAAUGAGAAGGAAGCUGCUAUAUCUGGCUCCUUGGUAUCUGGGAUCUUCUGGUCUGUGCAGGUGCUACUGAGGGCGAAGCAGGUGGACAUGAGGAUUCACAGCACUGGAUGAAUUCCUUCGCUUCAGCCUAAGUUAGUGUCGUGGGUGCGACGCAACCUCUGCGCCUCUGUGACGGUUCCUUUCAGGCAGUGCCCAAGUGAGCAGCGCUCCGUGGAGGGAAGAGGGAACAAGCCAGAGGGAAAGAGAGUCCCUGAGUGGACUGGCAAUGAAAGAGAAUCCCUCUGAGAGAGAGGCAGACCCUGAUCUGGGAGCGUCGCCUGCAGACGGCGGAGCAGGGCAGCGCUCAGUGCCUGAGGGCCUCCACCCUGGGAGGGGCAGCAGCCAUGUCUGCCUCCAGCCCCAAAACGUGCUGCUGACGCCUGGGCUCGGCGUGUGGGCUGAACUGCAGCCAGAGGCUCAGGAGAUCCCGCAGAGAGGAGGAAUCAGAUGCAAUGUGAUGAAAUGAAAUGUGAUGAUGAGAGUGAGCUACACGUAGGAGAAACAGAUGAUGACUGGAAGCCGUCCUGCUGCAGGGAGCCUUAAUGGAUCUGAAGGCGUCGACCUCAGAAAAGAUUCGUUCAGGGAUCAUGCAGAAACUAUGGGCCAAGCGGGAAAUGAUCCUCGUAAGCCGAGGGACGGCUCACGAUGCAAAUGUGAAAUUGGCCACAAGAUUAACAGCAAACCAGAGGAUGAAGAUUAACACAUUAACAUGCAGCAGCCGAGGAAAUUCAGUAUGGAGGAGCGGCUCAGAGAAGGGUCCAAGAGGGCAGGGGGUGCAUAGGAGCACCUUGAUGAAUAUUUGAGGGGAUCAAGCCUCCAGCUCUACUAGAGCCAGCUCUGGGAGAUCAGGGGGGGUCCUUUCACCAGGACAUCAGCAGAGUGUAGGACACACACCCUCACAACGCCAGGUGUGGCGGUCUGGGCCUCUACACUCCGUAGAGGCCCAGACCGGCAGACAAUGGGUGACGGAGGACGAGCCUGAGUUCAGGAGGGACAGAGGAGCAUCAGCGCAUGAGAAGGAAAAAACUGCCAACAGCUGGAUCUGAGAGGAGUGUUUGGUUAAGCCACACAGAUCAGGCACGUAUAAAAGGGCAAGGAAGCGAAAACAUGACCAUUAUGACCCCUUCCAGGUGUGUGAGAGGCUGGUUCUGAACCCAGAAUGGGAGGGAGGAGCAGUUUGCGUGCCGGAGUUUGGCCAGACGGAGACCGAGCCUCCGCUGGGAUGGAGAACGCACCGAGAGGAGGCCAUGAUGAUGAGGCUGCAGGAGGUAAUUAAAGGAUUAUCUGAUGCUGGCCUGAAGUUGACCCUGAAGAAAUGCAAGGGCUGGACAUCAAGCUAACCUGAAAAGGUGAUGACUGGCAAUCAACGAAGCUGAAGGGCUGGAACCGAGACGACUAGACUUUGGACUGAAAGCGGAGAUUCAUUGUGAGGUAAAUGCCGUAGGAACAGUAUUAAGCGACGGAGGGGGGACUCAGAGCUCUGGAGUUUUGUGUGGAGCUGUGUGUUGUCAUCCGUAGAAAAGGAAGCGUGGGAAGUCUGGUACAGCCCCAGACUCGGCUUCAGGCAAUGCAAUGGUCGUGGGUCAGAAGGUGUGGCUUAAAGUAACGGUAAGGCCACAAGCAGUGACAGUCCACCCCCAAAACCAACAAGCAAGAUGAGGUAGAGGACACACUUGACCUCAGCACCGUGAGGUUGAAGGAAGCAGCUAAAAGCAGUCCCACAUCUGGAGAAGAAACUAGGAGCCGAAAGGUCGGUGGCUUCUGGAGCACAGGAUCUGCCAACCUGGAUAAAAGUGGCUCAUAUCAUCCCAUAUGGCAGAGUGGAGAUCAAGACGGCAUCAAGGCUGUGGGCAGAAAGCGCAGGUCGCUGAAGGAGCUACGUUAGCGAAUGAAGAGAGCAGGCUUGGCAACGCUUAAAGCAGUCAUCAGAGACCGAUCUUCUGCUCACAGGUAUCCAGUGGCUGUCGAAAAGGAGGUUUGUGGGUAAAAGAUGACGGGGGAAAUGUUCUGGCUGCAUAAGAGCAGGACGAGUACCCUGGACGAACAGAUGAUCAGAGGCGAAGAGAAUGGAAAUCAGGAGAUGAUCAAAGAAGGACAAGAUCAUCUGUUAUUUACUGCUGCAUUGAUUCUCAUGUUCCACUUAUUACCAAUAAAUCUGCUCCCAAAGAAAAUAAUCAUUAAUCCACUAUUGUGUUGAUUCUUAUAAUUGAUGACUUCUAAUAAUAAUCAUCUAUUUACUAUUGUAUUGAUUCUUACAUUCAAUUAAUUACUAAUGAUGAUCUAUCUUAAGAAACAAUGGUUCUCAUGUUUGAAUGAGUGCUAAGGAUGAUGAAAACAAUGACAAAGGGGCUAUGAGUAAACCAGUAAAGCAAACAGGGAAGGAAUGAAUGAUGAUUGGGACUGUAUUUUCUGUUUGAUUUUUGAUUUCUGAUUCUGAUCAUUUUAAUUACCUGCUGUUGGCUUUUGCUGUUUGCUGAAUAAAGUACCUACACUG